GGACGCUUAGCUCAGUUGGGAGAGCAUUCACUGGUUCAAGCCCAGUAGCGUCCACCA
RNAcentral lists this transfer RNA (57 nucleotides) under Alteromonas mediterranea U8. RNAcentral's name for it is "tRNA-Und (NNN) (tRNA-Und-NNN-6-1)". Lineage: Bacteria; Pseudomonadati; Pseudomonadota; Gammaproteobacteria; Alteromonadales; Alteromonadaceae. The record is from RNAcentral.